AGCCGGGACACAUUUUCCCGUGGUAGCGGUGUCCUCCUGCCCACGGCCGCCCCCGCUGCAUCGACACAUUGUAAUAUAAAUGAAGCAAGCGGCUCUGAGAUUCCAGCACAAGCUCGAGGACCCUCCGCUGCAGAGCAGUGGCAGAGCCCCUGGAAGGCUCGACUGAAGUAUAGACUCUACAUUUCUGUGUGUCUAUCUUCACCGCCGCGCCUUGCAGGAGGGCCAUUAGAGAGUCAAAUGUUACUGAGUCACUUCAACUUGACCCUUUUUGACGCAGUGAUGGUGUGAGAGGAUUCAAACAGUGGCUGCAUUGUUACUGUUCGCACCUUUCCUCCUUUGGACAGUUUCACGCUUUUCAGAGCGCCUCCACAUCCUUUGGUCCGGCGGCAGUCAAGUGGAAGGGAGAAACUGAAACAGUCCCGGCUAUCAUGUCGCUCUGCCUGUUACUGGCUUGGCAAGUCUUCUAAGAACAGCAGCAUUUUACUACGUGACAGGUUUUAUUUCUUCAGAACUGCGCUGGACGAGGCUUUAUGCGCCGCGCCAAGGGUGCAGAGAAAGGCCCGGAACAGAGCUGAAAGAGAGGCAGCUGAUUGAGGGCUGCACAGAGCCCGGCAUUCAGCACGACGAUGUGCAAAGACAACAACAAUACUACUACUACUACUUCUACUACUACUACUACUACCACUACUAAUAAUAAUAAUAAAAUUAACUUUUACCAGUGAAACGAA
This is a long non-coding RNA of Girardinichthys multiradiatus, 728 nucleotides long. RefSeq lists it as uncharacterized. Lineage: Eukaryota; Metazoa; Chordata; Actinopteri; Cyprinodontiformes; Goodeidae. The transcript has 2 exons. The record is from RefSeq and is a predicted model, not a curated record.